Molecule: ribosomal RNA, 509 nt
Filed under: uncultured bacterium
Lineage: Bacteria
Description: bacterial SSU rRNA
Rfam family: Bacterial small subunit ribosomal RNA
Source: RNAcentral
GAUUCUGGCUCAGGAUGAACGCUAGCGGCAGGCUUAACACAUGCAAGUCGAGGGGCAGCGGGUGUAGCAAUACAUGCCGGCGACCGGCGAAAGGGUGAGUAACGCGCGAGCAACAUGCCCGAUACUGGGGGAUAGUCGAUGGAAACGUCGCGUAAUACCCCGUAACACAUUCUCUCGCAUGGGGGGAUGUUGAAAGAUUGAUUGGUAUCGGAUUGGCUCGCGUGCCAUUAGGUAGACGGCGGGGUAACGGCCCACCGUGCCGACGAUGGCUAGGGGUUCUGAGAGGAAGGUCCCCCCACAUUGGAACUGAGACACGGUCAGACUCCUACGGGAGGCAGCAGUGAGGAAUAUUGGACAAUGGCCGGAAGGCUGAUCCAGCCAUGCCGCGUGCGGGAUGAACCGGCCCUAUGGGUUGUAAACUUCUUUUGCAUGGGAAUAACGUGGCCCACUUGUGGGCUAUUGCAUGUACCUUGCGAAUAAGCAUCGGCUAAUUCCGUGCCAGCCGCAGC